RNAcentral lists this ribosomal RNA (328 nucleotides) under uncultured eukaryote. RNAcentral describes it as "partial 18S ribosomal RNA". It matches the Rfam family "Eukaryotic small subunit ribosomal RNA", at positions 1470 to 1796 of the family's 1831-position model. The record is from RNAcentral.
CCCUUAGAUGUUCUGGGCCGCACGCGCGCUACACUGUUGCAUUCAACGAGUAUACAACCUUGAUCGAAAGAUCUGGGUAAUCUUUGAAAGUGCAACGUGAUGGGGCUAGAUUAUUGCAAUUAUUAAUCUUAAACGAGGAAUUCCUAGUAAACGCAAGUCAUCAGCUUGCAUUGAUUACGUCCCUGCCCUUUGUACACACCGCCCGUCGCUCCUACCGAUUGGCUGAUUCGGUGAAAUCUUGGGACCGAGAUAUUUAGUUGGCUCGCUAGCUUUAUGUCUUGGGAACUUGCUUGAAUCAUGUCAGCUAGAGGAAGGAGAAGUCGUANCA